ACCCAGCUUCCAGGGAAAGCCUCUAAGCUUCAGUCUAAGAGUGACCGUACCGCAAACCGACACAGGUGGGCUGGUAGAGAAUACCAAGGCGCUUGAGAGAACUCAGGAGAAGGAACUCGGCAAAUUGAUACCGUAACUUCGGGAGAAGGUAUGCCCCUGGUACGUGAAGGCCCUCGCGGCCGGAGCGGAACGGGGUCGCAGAGAAUCGGUGGCUGCGACUGUUUAUUAAAAACACAGCACUCUGCAAACACGAAAGUGGACGUAUAGGGUGUGACGCCUGCCCGGUGCCGGAAGGUUAAGUGAUGGGGUGCAAGCUCUUGAUCGAAGCCCCGGUAAACGGCGGCCGUAACUAUAACGGUCCUAAGGUAGCGAAAUUCCUUGUCGGGUAAGUUCCGACCUGCACGAAUGGCGUAACGAUGGCCACACUGUCUCCUCCUGAGACUCAGCGAAGUUGAAAUGUUUGUGAAGAUGCAAUCUCCCCGCGGCUAGACGGAAAGACCCCAUGAACCUUUACUGUAGCUUUGCAUUGGACUUUGACGGGACUUGUGUAGGAUAGGUGGGAGGCUAUGAAACCGGGACGCCAGUUCCGGCGGAGCCACCCUUGAAAUACCACCCUGGUGUCGUCGAGGUUCUAACCCAGGCCUGUGAAUCCAGGUCGGGGACCGUGCAUGGUGGGCAGUUUGACUGGGGCGGUCUCCUCCCAAAGGGUAACGGAGGAGUACGAAGGUCACCUAGGUACGGUCGGACAUCGUACUGAUAGUGCAAUGGCAAAAGGUGGCUUGACUGCGAGACCCACAAGUCGAGCAGGUGCGAAAGCAAGUCAUAGUGAUCCGGUGGUUCUGUAUGGAAGGGCCAUCGCUCAACGGAUAAAAGGUACUCUGGGGAUAACAGGCUGAUUCCGCCCAAGAGUUCACAUCGACGGCGGAGUUUGGCACCUCGAUGUCGGCUCAUCACAUCCUGGGGCUGUAGCCGGUCCCAAGGGUAUGGCUGUUCGCCAUUUAAAGUGGUACGUGAGCUGGGUUUAAAACGUCGUGAGACAGUUUGGUCCCUAUCUGCCGUGGGCGCUGGAAGUUUGAGAGGGCCUGCUCCUAGUACGAGAGGACCGGAGUGGACGCACCCCUGGUGUACCGGUUGUGACGCCAGUCGCAUCGCCGGGUAGCUAUGUGCGGAAGAGAUAACCGCUGAAAGCAUCUAAGCGGGAAACUCGCCUCAAGAUGAGACUUCCCCGGGGCCUCGAGCCCCCUGAAGGGUCGUUGAAGACCACAACGUUGAUAGGCCGGGUGUGUAAGCGUGGCAACACGUUCAGCUAACCGGUACUAAUUGCCCGUGUGGCUUGAUCC
RNAcentral lists this ribosomal RNA (1340 nucleotides) under metagenome. Its description in RNAcentral is "bacterial LSU rRNA". It matches the Rfam family "Bacterial large subunit ribosomal RNA", at positions 1599 to 2925 of the family's 2925-position model. The record is from RNAcentral.